AGCCUGAUGCNGCCAUGCCGCGUGUGNGAAGAAGGCCUUCGGGUUGUNAAGCACUUUCAGCGGGGAGGAAGGCGNUNAGGUUAAUAACCUNNUCGAUUGACGUUACCCGCAGAAGAAGCACCGGCUAACUCCGUGCCAGCAGCCGCGGUAAUACGGAGGGUGCAAGCGUUAAUCGGAAUUACUGGGCGUAAAGCGCACGCAGGCGGUCUGUCAAGUCGGAUGUGAAAUCCCCGGGCUCAACCUGGGAACUGCAUUCGAAACUGGCAGGCUAGAGUCUUGUAGAGGGGGGUAGAAUUCCAGGUGUAGCGGUGAAAUGCGUAGAGAUCUGGAGGAAUACCGGUGGCGAAGGCGGCCCCCUGGACAAAGACUGACGCUCAGGUGCGAAAGCGUGGGGAGCAAACAGGAUUANAUACCCUGGUAGUCCACGCCGUAAACGAUGUCNAUUUGGAGGUUGUGCCCUUGAGGCGUGGCUUCCGGAGCUAACGCGUUAAAUCGACCGCCUGGGGAGUACGGCCGCAAGGUUAAAACUCAAAGGNAUUUGACGGGG
This 547-nucleotide ribosomal RNA is filed under the name Klebsiella pneumoniae. Its description in RNAcentral is "bacterial SSU rRNA". It matches the Rfam family "Bacterial small subunit ribosomal RNA", at positions 380 to 918 of the family's 1533-position model. Lineage: Bacteria; Pseudomonadati; Pseudomonadota; Gammaproteobacteria; Enterobacterales; Enterobacteriaceae. The record is from RNAcentral.